This 240-nucleotide unclassified non-coding RNA is filed under the name soil metagenome. Its description in RNAcentral is "partial contains 5.8S ribosomal RNA, internal transcribed spacer 2, and large subunit ribosomal RNA". The record is from RNAcentral.
AACCUAGCACACCUGCGGUGUGUACCUGCGGAGGGAUCAUUAACAAAAAGUGAAUCAAUGGACAUUUUGGUGGAUCUUAUCGCCUGGGAAACGAUUAAGAUUCAUUUUCUGUUGAAGCACUAUAAUCCAUUUAGGCGUCGUAUGGAAACGUUCGGCGCACCUUCCCCUUUCUUGGAGUCUAAUAGAAAUAUUAGUACUCUGGGGAUGAACAUUGAUGUGUUUAUCGUAUUAUACAGGCUU